This 465-nucleotide ribosomal RNA is filed under the name uncultured bacterium. RNAcentral describes it as "partial 16S ribosomal RNA". It matches the Rfam family "Bacterial small subunit ribosomal RNA", at positions 28 to 507 of the family's 1533-position model. The record is from RNAcentral.
GACGAACGCUGGCGGCGUGCUUAACACAUGCAAGUCGAACGGAAAGGCCCUGCUUGCCGGGUACUCGAGUGGCGAACGGGUGAGUAACACGUGGGUGAUCUGCCCUGCACUUCGGGAUAAGCCUGGGAAACUGGGUCUAAUACAGGAUAGGAGCCAUUCUUAGUGUGAUGGUUGGAAAGUUUUUUCGGUGUAGGAUGAGCUCGCGGCCUAUCAGCUUGUUGGUGGGGUAAUGGCCUACCAAGGCGGCGACGGGUAGCCGGCCUGAGAGGGUGGACGGCCACAUUGGGACUGAGAUACGGCCCAGACUCCUACGGGAGGCAGCAGGUGGGAAUAUUGCACAAUAGGCGCAAGCCUGAUGCAGCGACGCCGCGUGGUGGAGGACGGCCUUCGGGUUGUAAACUCCUUUCGCUAGGGACGAAGCUUUUUGUGACGGUACCUAGAAAAGAAGCACCGGCUAGCUACGUG